Molecule: ribosomal RNA, 460 nt
Filed under: uncultured bacterium
Lineage: Bacteria
Description: partial 16S ribosomal RNA
Rfam family: Bacterial small subunit ribosomal RNA
Source: RNAcentral
CCUACGGGAGGCAGCAGUGAGGAAUAUUGGUCAAUGGGCUUACGCCUGAACCAGCCAAGUCGCGUGAGGGAAGACUGCCCUAUGGGUUGUAAACCUCUUUUGUCAGGGAGCAACGCCGGCUACGUGUAGCCGGACUGAGAGUACCUGAAGAAAAAGCAUCGGCUAACUCCGUGCCAGCAGCCGCGGUAAUACGGAGGAUGCGAGCGUUAUCCGGAUUGAUUGGGUUUAAAGGGUGCGUAGGCGGAAUGCCAAGUCAGCGGUAAAAUCGCGGGGCUCAACCUCGCUCCGCCGUUGAAACUGGCGUUCUUGAGUGGGCGGGAAGUAUGCGGAAUGCGGGGUGUAGCGGUGAAAUGCAUAGAUAUCACGCAGAACUCCGAUUGCGAAGGCAGCAUACCGGCGCCCAACUGACGCUGAAGCACGAAAGCGUGGGUAUCGAACAGGAUUAGAUACCCUGGUAGUC